AUUGAACGCUGGCGGCAGGCCUAACACAUGCAAGUCGAACGGUAGCACAGAGAGCUUGCUCUCGGGUGACGAGUGGCGGACGGGUGAGUAAUGUCUGGGAAACUGCCCGAUGGAGGGGGAUAACUACUGGAAACGGUAGCUAAUACCGCAUAACGUCGCAAGACCAAAGUGGGGGACCUUCGGGCCUCACACCAUCGGAUGUGCCCAGAUGGGAUUAGCUAGUAGGUGGGGUAAUGGCUCACCUAGGCGACGAUCCCUAGCUGGUAUGAGAGGAUGACCAGCCACACUGGAACUGAGACACGGUCCAGACUCCUACGGGAGGCAGCAGUGGGGAAUAUUGCACAAUGGGCGCAAGCCUGAUGCAGCCAUGCCGUGUGUAUGAAGAAGGCCUUCGGGUUGUAAAGUACUUUCAGCGGGGAGGAAGGCGGUGAAGUUAAUAGCUUCACCGAUUGACGUUACCCGCAGAAGAAGCACCGGCUAACUCCGUGCCAGCAGCCGCAGUAA
This 504-nucleotide ribosomal RNA is filed under the name uncultured bacterium. RNAcentral describes it as "partial 16S ribosomal RNA". It matches the Rfam family "Bacterial small subunit ribosomal RNA", at positions 30 to 523 of the family's 1533-position model. The record is from RNAcentral.